RNAcentral lists this unclassified non-coding RNA (376 nucleotides) under uncultured bacterium. Its description in RNAcentral is "contains 16S-23S intergenic spacer region". The record is from RNAcentral.
UCCGGCUUAACGCCGGCAGUCCCACUAGAGUGCCCAACUGAAUGAUGGCAACUAAUGGCAAGGGUUGCGCUCGUUGCGGGACUUAACCCAACAUCUCACGACACGAGCUGACGACAACCAUGCACCACCUGUGAACCGGCCCCAAAGGGGAAACCACAUUUCUGCGGCGAUCCGGCCCAUGUCAAGCCUUGGUAAGGUUCUUCGCGUUGCAUCGAAUUAAUCCGCAUGCUCCGCCGCUUGUGCGGGCCCCCGUCAAUUCAUUUGAGUUUUAACCUUGCGGCCGUACUCCCCAGGCGGUCUACUUAUUGCGUUAGCUGCGUCACAAAGUCCUCAAGGGCCCCAACGGCUAGUUCUCAUCGUUUACGGCGUGGACUAC